This 175-nucleotide small RNA is filed under the name Aeromicrobium sp. Root472D3. RNAcentral's name for it is "c-di-AMP riboswitch aptamer (ydaO/yuaA leader)". It matches the Rfam family "c-di-AMP riboswitch aptamer (ydaO/yuaA leader)". From Rfam's summary of the family: This family represents a conserved RNA structure found upstream of the ydaO and yuaA genes in Bacillus subtilis and related genes in other bacteria. The ydaO/yuaA element is thought to act as a genetic "off" switch for the ydaO and yuaA genes in its native state. Lineage: Bacteria; Bacillati; Actinomycetota; Actinomycetes; Propionibacteriales; Nocardioidaceae. RNAcentral also lists the same sequence under 1 other name. The record is from Rfam by way of RNAcentral.
ACUGCGCACGCGCCGAGGCCCGUCACGUCCGCAGUCAUCGAUCCAACCGCGACGGGCAUGGAAGACCCAGCAGUGCGGCUCCCACGGAGUCUUGGGGUUAAUCGGCACCACCGACAGGCAUCCUUCGCGCCUGAACCCGACAGGUCAUCUUUCACAGGCGUGCACGAAGGAACCC